This 28-nucleotide small RNA is filed under the name Bombyx mori (domestic silkworm). RNAcentral's name for it is "ovarian small RNA-34768". The record is from RNAcentral. Lineage: Eukaryota; Metazoa; Arthropoda; Insecta; Lepidoptera; Bombycidae.
UGGCAGUAUUGCCAUCAUUGGUUGUUCC